GUUCCGUAGGUGAACCUGCGGAAGGAUCAUUAUUGUAUAACCGAGGUGCGAGGGCUGUCGCUGACCCGAAAGGUCGUGCACGCCCGAGUGCCCUCACUCACAUCCAUCUCACCCCUAUGUGCACCACCGCGUGGGUCCCCCUUUGGCUUGUUCGGAGGGGGGCUUACGUUUUCACACAAACUUUGUAUGCAGUGUAGAAUGUAUUUUUUGUUUUUGCGAUCACGCAAUCAAUACAACUUUCAACAACGGAUCUCUUGGCUCUC
This 263-nucleotide unclassified non-coding RNA is filed under the name plant metagenome. RNAcentral's name for it is "partial contains small subunit ribosomal RNA, internal transcribed spacer 1, and 5.8S ribosomal RNA". The record is from RNAcentral.